RNAcentral lists this ribosomal RNA (301 nucleotides) under uncultured bacterium. Its description in RNAcentral is "partial 16S ribosomal RNA". It matches the Rfam family "Bacterial small subunit ribosomal RNA", at positions 509 to 807 of the family's 1533-position model. The record is from RNAcentral.
CAGUAGCCGCGGUAAUACGUAGGGUGCGAGCGUUAAUCGGAAUUACUGGGCGUAAAGCGUGCGCAGGCGGUUGUGUAAGACAGUUGUGAAAUCCCCGGGCUCAACCUGGGAACUGCAUCUGUGACUGCAUAGCUAGAGUACGGUAGAGGGGGAUGGAAUUCCGCGUGUAGCAGUGAAAUGCGUAGAUAUGCGGAGGAACACCGAUGGCGAAGGCAAUCCCCUGGACCUGUACUGACGCUCAUGCACGAAAGCGUGGGGAGCAAACAGGAUUAGAUACCCGCGUAGUCCCUGUCUCUUAUAC